GUGGGGAAUAUUGGGCAAUGGGGGAAACCCUGACCCAGCAACGCCGCGUGAAGGAAGAAGGCUUUCGGGUUGUAAACUUCUUUUAUGAGGGACGAAGAAGUGACGGUACCUCAUGAAUAAGCCACGGCUAACUACGUGCCAGCAGCCGCGGUAAUACGUAGGUGGCAAGCGUUGUCCGGAUUUACUGGGUGUAAAGGGCGCGUAGGCGGGAUAGCAAGUCAGGUGUGAAAUCCGGGGGCUUAACCCUCGAACUGCACUUGAAACUGUUAUUCUUGAGUGAUGGAGAGGCAAGCGGAAUUCCUAGUGUAGCGGUGAAAUGCGUAGAUAUUAGGAGGAACACCAGUGGCGAAGGCGGCUUGCUGGACAUUAACUGACGCUGAGGCGCGAAAGCGUGGGGAGCAAACAGGAUUAGAUACCCGAGUAGUCC
Molecule: ribosomal RNA, 427 nt
Filed under: uncultured bacterium
Lineage: Bacteria
Description: partial 16S ribosomal RNA
Rfam family: Bacterial small subunit ribosomal RNA
Source: RNAcentral